GGAUUGUGGCUCAGCGGUAGAGCGCUCGCCUUGCAUGCGCGGGACCCGGGUUUGAUUCUCAGUACCA
RNAcentral lists this transfer RNA (67 nucleotides) under Marmota monax (woodchuck). Its description in RNAcentral is "tRNA.Ala". Lineage: Eukaryota; Metazoa; Chordata; Mammalia; Rodentia; Sciuridae. The record is from RNAcentral.